RNAcentral lists this ribosomal RNA (499 nucleotides) under uncultured Glomeromycotina. Its description in RNAcentral is "partial small subunit ribosomal RNA". It matches the Rfam family "Eukaryotic small subunit ribosomal RNA", at positions 591 to 1092 of the family's 1831-position model. Lineage: Eukaryota; Fungi; Glomeromycota. The record is from RNAcentral.
CCAAUAGCGUAUAUUAAAGUUGCUGCAGUUAAAAAGCUCGUAGUUGAAUUUCGGGACCAUCAUGUCGGUCGUGCCUCGGUACGUACUGGUAUUGUUGGUUUCUCCCUUCUGACGAACCAUGAUGUCAUUUAUUUGGUGUUGUGGGGAAUCAGGACUGUUACUUUGAAAAAAUUAGAGUGUUUAAAGCAGGCUCACGCUUGAAUACAUUAGCAUGGAAUAAUGAAAUAGGACGUUUGAUUCUAUUUUGUUGGUUUCUAGGAUCGACGUAAUGAUUAAUAGGGAUAGUUGGGGGCAUUAGUAUUCAAUUGUCAGAGGUGAAAUUCUUGGAUUUAUUGAAGACUAACUACUGCGAAAGCAUUUGCCAAGGAUGUUUUCAUUAAUCAAGAGCGAAAGUUAGGGGAUCGAAGACGAUCAGAUACCGUCGUAGUCUUAACCAUAAACUAUGCCGACUAGGGAUCGGAUGAUGUUAAUUUUUUAAUGACUCAUUCGGCGCCUUACG